Molecule: ribosomal RNA, 494 nt
Filed under: uncultured bacterium
Lineage: Bacteria
Description: partial 16S ribosomal RNA
Rfam family: Bacterial small subunit ribosomal RNA
Source: RNAcentral
GAUGAACGCUAGCGGCAGGCUUAACACAUGCAAGUCGAGGGGUAUAGUUCUUCGGAACUAGAGACCGGCGCACGGGUGCGUAACGCGUAUGCAAUCUACCUUUUGCAGAGGGAUAGCCCAGAGAAAUUUGGAUUAAUACCUCAUAGUAUGUGAGAAUGGCAUCAUUUUCACAUUAAAGUCACAACGGCAAAAGAUGAGCAUGCGUCCCAUUAGCUUGUUGGUAAGGUAACGGCUUACCAAGGCAACGAUGGGUAGGGGUCCUGAGAGGGAGAUCCCCCACACUGGGACUGAGACACGGACCAGACUCCUACGGGAGGCAGCAGUGAGGAAUAUUGGACAAUGGGCGCAAGCCUGAUCCAGCCAUGCCGCGUGCAGGAUGACGGUCCUAUGGAUUGUAAACUGCUUUUGUACAGGAAGAAACACUGGUUCGUGAACCAGCUUGACGGUACUGUAAGAAUAAGGAUCGGCUAACUCCGUGCCAGCAGCCGCCGCUG